Molecule: long non-coding RNA, 738 nt
Organism: Ficedula albicollis (Collared flycatcher)
Lineage: Eukaryota; Metazoa; Chordata; Aves; Passeriformes; Muscicapidae
Exons: 4
Source: RefSeq, a predicted model, not a curated record
GAGUGGGAGUGGGAGCCUUGAGGAGCUCCUUGAGGGCCAUUCCCUCCUCAGGUGCAAUUCCAGAAGGACAAAAUGCACAUUCCAGGGGAACCACGGUGGGAGCUGAGCCCAGGGAUCCAGAAAAGUUGCUGGAGUGUCGCAGUGAGAUUUCUGGUUUUUAGUUUAAUCACUCCUCUGGGAAAGUGCUGUAAAAAAAGCUUCAUUUGAAGCCCUCCAAUGGGGUAUUAUUUUCGUGUUGUGGUUCCUGCAUCUAUGAACUAACAGGAAGGGUGAACUCUUUGGCUGAAGCAAAGCAGACGAAUCCUGGUGCUCUCCUGGUCUGUUUAAACUGGUAGAGCACGUAUGGCCUCCCUAGAAUCCCUUUUUGUAACUGCAUUUGUGCUGCAGUCGAGCAUUGCAGUUUGCUGACAGCUUUGCUUUCUGCAUAUUGACUUCAAUUAUUUUUGUGCCAAAUCACUCUGAAACUCCUCAAUAGACACAUUUCUUCAUCUCACCCUACAUCUGUUUCUUAUCUUUUAUGUCGGGCUCCCAGACUGCAGAUAUUGAACUAUGGAUUGGGUUCUGUGUUACAGCACUGAGCCUCCUUUUAAAAUAUCAUCUCUUCAGAAUGGAGGAUGCUGUAAAUGAACCGAGGAAUGUUUGAAAUAAAAACAAACAAACAAAACCCACCCACACUUGAUGUAUAAACUCAGGUUUUUUGUCUGUGUUUUUUGAACAUCUAACACAAUAUUUAAUGAU